CCGACUGGUAACUACGCACUUUGUCCGAGCACAUUAUCACACGUGUCAUGCAAGCCAUCUUAAAUGACCCCCUAAAAUGUCAUUUGACAACCUAAAUAGCUGCCACUGUUGCCCGGCUGGCAACAGGGAAAAAAGGUUAAGCGAGAG
Molecule: long non-coding RNA, 147 nt
Organism: Amblyraja radiata (thorny skate)
Lineage: Eukaryota; Metazoa; Chordata; Chondrichthyes; Rajiformes; Rajidae
Exons: 3
Source: RefSeq, a predicted model, not a curated record